GACGAACGCUGGCGGCGUGCUUAACACAUGCAAGUCGAACGGAAAGGCCCUGCUUUUGUGGGGUGCUCGAGUGGCGAACGGGUGAGUAACACGUGAGUAACCUGCCCUUGACUUUGGGAUAACUUCAGGAAACUGGGGCUAAUACCGGAUAGGAGCUCCUGCUGCAUGGUGGGGGUUGGAAAGUUUCGGCGGUUGGUGAUGGACUCGCGGCUUAUCAGCUUGUUGGUGGGGUAGUGGCUUACCAAGGCUUUGACGGGUAGCCGUCCUGAGAGGGUGACCGGCCACAUUGGGACUGAGAUACGGCCCAGACUCCUACGGGAGGCAGCAGUGGGGAAUAUUGCACAAUGGGCGGAAGCCUGAUGCAGCAACGCCGCGUGCGGGAUGACGGCCUUCGGGUUGUAAACCGCUUUCGCCUGUGACGAAGCGUGAGUGACGGUAAUGGGUAAAGAAGCACCGGCUAACUACGUG
RNAcentral lists this ribosomal RNA (468 nucleotides) under uncultured bacterium. RNAcentral describes it as "partial 16S ribosomal RNA". It matches the Rfam family "Bacterial small subunit ribosomal RNA", at positions 28 to 507 of the family's 1533-position model. The record is from RNAcentral.